GACGAACGCUGGCGGCGUGCUUAACACAUGCAAGUCGAACGGAAAGGCCCUGCUUGCAGGGUACUCGAGUGGCGAACUGGUGAGUAACACGUGGGUGCUCUGCCCUGCACUUCGGGAUAAGCCUGGGCAACUGGGUCUAAUACCUGAUAGGAGCCAUUUUUAGUGUGAUGGUUGGAAAGUUUUUUCGGUGUUGGAUGAUCUCGCGGCCUAUCAGCUUGUUGGUUGGGUAAUGGCCUACCAAGGCGGCGACGGGUAGCCGGCCUGCGAGGGUGGAAGGCCACAUUGAGACUGAGGUACGGCCCAGACGCCUAAGAGAGGAAGAAGUGGGGAAUAUUGAACAAUGGGCGCAAGGCUGAUGCAGCGAGGCCGCGUGGGGGAUGACGGCCUUGGGGUUGUAGAAAACUUGCGCUAGGGACGAAGCUUUUUGUGACGGUACCUAGAUAAGAAGCACCGGCUAACUACGUG
RNAcentral lists this ribosomal RNA (465 nucleotides) under uncultured bacterium. RNAcentral describes it as "partial 16S ribosomal RNA". It matches the Rfam family "Bacterial small subunit ribosomal RNA", at positions 28 to 507 of the family's 1533-position model. The record is from RNAcentral.